AUUGAACGCUGGCGGCAUGCUUUACACAUGCAAGUCGAACGGCAGCGCGGGCUUCGGCCUGGCGGCGAGUGGCGAACGGGUGAGUAAUGCAUCGGAACGUGCCCCGUAGUGGGGGAUAGCCCGGCGAAAGCCGGAUUAAUACCGCAUACGACCUGAGGGUGAAAGCGGGGGACCGAAAGGCCUCGCGCUAUUGGGGCGGCCGAUGUCGGAUUAGCUAGUUGGUGGGGUAAAGGCUUACCAAGGCGACGAUCCGUAGCUGGUCUGAGAGGACGACCAGCCACACUGGGACUGGGACACGGCCCAGACUCCUACGGGAGGCAGCAGUGGGGAAUUUUGGACAAUGGGGGCAACCCUGAUCCAGCCAUGCCGCGUGCGGGAAGAAGGCCUUCGGGUUGUAAACCGCUUUUGUUCGGGAAGAAAUCCUCUGGGCUAAUACCCCGGGGGGAUGACGGUACCGGAAGAAUAAGCACCGGCUAACUACGUG
RNAcentral lists this ribosomal RNA (484 nucleotides) under uncultured bacterium. RNAcentral describes it as "partial 16S ribosomal RNA". It matches the Rfam family "Bacterial small subunit ribosomal RNA", at positions 28 to 507 of the family's 1533-position model. The record is from RNAcentral.